GCUUAGGGAGGAGCUUGCGUCACAUUAGUUAGUUGGUGGGGUAAAGGCCUAACAAGACUAUGAUGUGUAGCCGGGCUGAGAGGUUGAACGGCCACAUUGGGACUGAGACACGGCCCAAACUCCUACGGGAGGCAGCAGUAGGGAAUUUUCGGCAAUGGAGGAAACUCUGACCGAGCAACGCCGCGUGAACGAUGAAGUAUUUCGGUACGUAAAGUUCUUUUAUUAGGGAAGAAUAAAUGAUGGAAAAAUCAUUCUGACGGUACCUAAUGAAUAAGCCCCGGCUAACUAUGUGCCAGCAGCCGCGGUAAUACAUAGGGGGCAAGCGUUAUCCGGAAUUAUUGGGCGUAAAGGGUGCGUAGGCGGUUAAAUAAGUUUAUGGUCUAAGUGCAAUGCUCAACAUUGUGAUGCUAUAAAAACUGUUUAGCUAGAGUAAGAUAGAGGCAAGUGGAAUUCCAUGUGUAGUGGUAAAAUGCGUAAAUAUAUGGAGGAACACCAGUAGCGAAGGCGGCUUGCUGGGUCUUUACUGACGCUGAGGCACGAAAGCGUGGGGAGCAAACAGGAUUAGAUACCCUGGUAGUCCACGCCGUAAACGAUGAGUACUAAACGUUGGGUAAAACCAGUGUUGAAGUUAACACAUUAAGUACUCCGCCUGAGUAGUACGUACGCAAGUAUGAAACUUAAAGGAAUUGACGGGACUCCGCACAAGCGGUGGAUCAUGUUGUUUAAUUCGAGGGUACCCGAAAAACCUCACCAGGUCUUGACAUGCUUCUGCAAAGCUGUAGAAACACAGUGGAGGUUAUCAGUUGCACAGGUGGUGCAUGGUUGUCGUCAGCUCGUGUCGUGAGAUGUUGGGUUAAGUCCCGCAACGAGCGCAACCCUUAUUGUUAGUUACCAGCACGUAAUGGUGGGGACUUUAGCAAGACUGCCAGUGAUAAAUUGGAGGAAGGUGGGGACGACGUCAAAUCAUCAUGCCCCUUAUGACCUGGGCUACAAACGUGAUACAAUGGCUGUUACAAAGGGUAGCUGAAGCGCAAGUUUUUGGCGAAUCUCAAAAAAACAGUCUCAGUUCGGAUUGAAGUCUGCAACUCGACUUCAUGAAGUUGGAAUCGCUAGUAAUCGCGAAUCAGCAUGUCGCGGUGAAUACGUUCUCGGGGUUUGUACAAACCGCCCGUCAAACCACGAAAGUAGGUAAUACCCAAAGCCGAUGGCCUAACUUCCUAAGAAGAGGGAACCGUCUAAGGUAGGGUCCAUGAUUGGGGUUCAGUCGUAACAAGGUAUCCGUACCCUAAGGUGGGGAUGGAUCACCUGCUUUCU
RNAcentral lists this ribosomal RNA (1314 nucleotides) under 'Phoenix dactylifera' phytoplasma. RNAcentral describes it as "16S ribosomal RNA". It matches the Rfam family "Bacterial small subunit ribosomal RNA", at positions 217 to 1533 of the family's 1533-position model. Lineage: Bacteria; Bacillati; Mycoplasmatota; Mollicutes; Acholeplasmatales; Acholeplasmataceae. The record is from RNAcentral.